Molecule: ribosomal RNA, 253 nt
Filed under: uncultured bacterium
Lineage: Bacteria
Description: partial 16S ribosomal RNA
Rfam family: Bacterial small subunit ribosomal RNA
Source: RNAcentral
GACAGAGGGUGCAAACGUUGCUCGGAAUCACUGGGCGUAAAGGGCGCGUAGGCGGAUAGAUAAGUCGGGCGUGAAAUCCCUAGGCUCAACCUAGGAACUGCACUCGAAACUGUUUGUCUUGAGUACCGGAGAGGAAAGCGGAAUACCUGGUGUAGAGGUGAAAUUCGUAGAUAUCAGGUGGAACACCAGUGGCGAAGGCGGCUUUCUGGACGGUAACUGACGCUGAGGCGCGAAAGCGUGGGGAGCAAACAGG